RNA transcript from Harpegnathos saltator (Jerdon's jumping ant), 3943 nucleotides. It is a transcript of the gene named small wing phospholipase C gamma 1, with no coding region annotated. NCBI's taxonomy places the organism in Eukaryota, Metazoa, Arthropoda, Insecta, Hymenoptera, Formicidae. The record is from RefSeq and is a predicted model, not a curated record. The transcript has 19 exons.
GCUUUGCAUGUGAAUCUGCAUAAUAUUGCUUACACUAGAUUAAACGGAAGUUUUCAAUUCUUGUAAACGCAAGUUAGGAGCAAUACCUACGUAUGAUAAGUGAAACAUUAUAUUUUUAUUUUGUAUAAUCAACAUCGUGUAUCAUUUUGGGAGCAGUGAGCAUAUAACUUUUUAAAAAUGAAUGGAAUCAUUCCUGAAAUGGAACAAAUUAUUAGUCAGCUUGAAAGAGGUACUGUAGUAACUAAGUUUUUUACACGAAAACGACCAGAAAAGAAAACUCUUAUGAUCAGGAGAGAAACUAGACAGAUUGUAUGGUCAAGGAGUACAACAUUCAGACCUUUUGAUGGUUCAGUUGAAAUAAGAGAAGUUAAGGAGAUUAAGGUAGGAAAACAAUCUAAAGAUUUUGAAAAGUGGCCAGAAGAUGCUAAAAAAAUGGAGAAUUUAAGGUGUUUUGUUAUAUCUUACGGAUCUGAAUUUAGAUUGAAAACUCUUUCUAUAUCUGCUCUUAGUGAAAAAGAAUGUGAAUUAUGGGUUAAAGGAUUACGUCACUUAGUACAAGAUACUAUAAAUGCACCAUAUCCUUUACAAGUUGAGAGAUGGCUUAGAAAAGAGUUUUAUAUCAUGGAAAGUUCUCGUGAAACAAUUACUAUGAAGGAUAUAAAAGCAUUUUUACCUAGAAUUAAUUGUAAAAUUGCUACAAGUAGACUUAGAGAACUAUUCAAAGAAGUAGAUACAAAAAAUCGGAAUGAACUUGGGUUUGAUGAUUUCAUUAUUCUAUAUCACAAGUUAAUAUUUGAUCAAAAUUUUUUGCAGAAUCUUGCAGAAUGGAAUAAAUUAUCAAGUUAUUGUCAAACUGGACAAACUGUUACGCUCCAAGAAUUUCAGAACUUUUUAAUAACUGAACAACAAGAUGAUUUAGGCAACAAUGAGUUAGAAAUAUCACGUUUUAUCAGAGAAUAUUUGCAAGACCCUCAAAGAGAUAUACAAGAACCAUACUUUACUUUCUCAGAAUUUAUUGAUUUUUUAUUUUCUAAGCAAAAUGGUAUCUGGAAUCAAAAAUUUAAUCAAGUUUCUCAAGACAUGACUCUGCCUCUUGCAUAUUAUUGGAUAGCAUCAUCACAUAACACGUAUUUAAUGGGAGAUCAGAUUAGCAGUGAAAGUAGUUGUCAGGCUUAUGUACGUGCACUGAGAGCAGGAUGUAGAUGUAUUGAGCUUGAUUGUUGGGAUGGUCCAGAUGGAAUGCCAUUUAUAUUUCAUGGCCACACUCUCACCACUAAAAUUAAAUUCUUGGACGUUAUUAAAACUAUUAAGGAAUAUGCUUUUGCUACAUCUGAGUAUCCUGUAGUUUUGUCUAUCGAGGAUAACUGUACUUUAACGCAACAACGUAAAAUGGCAACAACUAUGCAAGAAGUAUUUGGAGACAUGUUGUUAGUCCAACCUGUUGACAAAAAUGAAACAUGUCUACCUUCUCCAUACGUAUUACGUAGAAGAAUUUUACUAAAACACAAGAAACUUCCCGAUGGUGUCGAUGAAUCUUCGUUUCUUGUUCGGAAUGAUGAAAGCAGACAAGAGAUGGAUCUCAGAAACACUGUGAAAAAUGGAAUUCUUUAUUUGGAAGAUCCUAUUGACAGAGAGUGGAAUCCUCAUUUUUUUGUAUUAACACAGCAGAAACUAUUUUACACCGACACAUUUUCCAGAACACAAGAAACAGAGCAUGAUGAUGAUGACGAAAACAGCAUUCGAAGAUCAUCAGACGGCGCGCCAAAUGAUGAAUUGCAUUUUGGAGAAAAAUGGUUUCAUGGAAAAUUAGCAAGAGGAAGGGAAGAAGCUGAAGAAUUAUUGCAACGUUAUUCUUAUCUUGGAGAUGGUACUUUUUUAGUACGACAAUGCGUUACAUUUGUGGGCGAUUACUGUUUGUCAUUUUGGAGAAAAGGAAAAGUGAAUCAUUGUCGUAUUAAACUGAAACAAGAAAUGGGACAAACGCAAUAUUAUCUCAUUGAUACUAAUUGCUUCGAUAGUUUAUAUAGUUUAAUUACUCAUUAUCGUAAUCAUCCACUUAGAAGUCAAGAGUUUCUAAUCACCUUACAAGAGCCAGUGCCUCAACCAAAUAAACACGAGGAAAAGGAAUGGUGGCAUCCUGCAUGUACUCGAACUGCAGCAGAAGAGAUGUUAAAACGGAUACCUACAGAUGGUGCAUUCUUAGUAAGACCUAGUGAAAGAGAAAGUAAUUGCUAUGCAAUUUCAUUUAGAGCAGAAAAGAAAAUAAAGCACUGUAAAAUAAAACUCGAAGGAAGACUCUAUACCACUGGAACUGUACAAUUUGAGAGUUUAGUCGAAUUAGUCAAUUAUUAUGAACGGCAUACAUUGUAUAAAAAGAUUAAAUUAAGUCAUCCUGUCAAUCAAGAUAUUAUUAGAAGAAUGGGACUGGAUAAUGAUGAUGGAUCUGUUUAUGGUAUCCCAGGAUAUAUGGAUCCUACAAGCUUCACAUCAAAGGUUACAGUUAAGGCUAUUUAUGAUUAUAAAGCGAGAAGAGACGAUGAAUUGACAUUAGUCAAGCAUGCUAUAAUUACUAAUGUCAAUCCACAAAGUGGAGGUUGGUGGAGAGGUGAUUAUGGUGGCAAAAGACAACACUGGUUUCCUGCUAAUUAUGUAGAACAAAUUGAUCAACAAGAAAAUCAGGGUGAUUCAGCAGAUUCUAUGAUGCUCGGUAGUUUGCAAAAAGGUUCGUUAGAUAUAAUGGGUGCUGUAGUUGAAUUAACGGUUUGUCAAGAAAGAUCUGGUUUGGAAUGGAUUUUAAGGAUACAAAAUCCUAGUAUGUGUACAGUAUUUGAAAUUGCGACACCUUCAAAGGAUACUGCAUUGGAAUGGAUGACCAGUAUCAAAGAGACUGCACAAAAUGCAAGUGUUAGGGAAAGUCAGCAUAAAGAAAUGGAAAGAACAUGGAGAAUAGCCAAGGAAAUGUCUAAUCUUAUUGUAUAUUUUAGAUCAGUUGCAUUUAACAUAGAGAAGUUAAGGACUAAAGGAUUUACAUUCAAUGAAAUGAGUAGUUUCCCUGAAACAAAAGCUGAGAAAUUAAUGUGUCAACAAGAAAACAAAUUUUUUAUAAAAUACCAUCAGAUUCAAUUUAGUAGGGUUUAUCCAAAGGGACAGCGUAUUGAUUCAUCUAAUUAUAAUCCUGUACCAAUGUGGAAUUCUGGUUGUCAGAUGGUAGCUUUGAAUUAUCAGACUGGAGAUAAAUCAAUGCAAUUAAAUCAAGCUAAAUUCAAAGAAAAUGGCAAUUGUGGUUAUUUAUUAAAACCAGAAUUCAUGUUCGGACAUGACUUUAAUCCAUAUGAUAAAAAUGUAUUACACGAAGUUAAUUCACUUAAAAUUAAUUUGAAAAUUAUUGGAGCCAGACAUUUAAUGAAAUCAGGAAGAGGUACUGUCAGUCCAUCUAUCGAAGUCGAAAUUGUGGGUGCAGAUUUUGAUUCAGGAAUAAAACUGACAACUAAAACUAUAUCGGAUAAUGGAUUUAAUCCAAUGUGGAACGAAACAUGCGAAUUUGAGAUAUUUAAUCCAUAUUUUGCCCUCAUAAGAUUUUUAGUGCAAGAUGAAGAUAUGUUUGGUGACAAUAACUUUAUAGGACAAGCUACUUACCCAAAAUCUGACGAGUGAACGUGCACCGAGAUGGAUGAUUGGAGGAGCGUCGUAGCCUUUCGGACCAUACUGUGACCCAGUUGACCUAUGGUUUACUGUUAGCGGCGUGCGGUGAGAUAACACAACGAAUAGCGGCACGUUGUCCAAAGGAUUGCCACGCACCGACACCAGUUGUUGGAUCGACUGGACCGCGCUGUGGUCCGAGCGGCUGCAACGUUUCUCCAAUCAUCUACAAGGUACGAUGUUUAAGAACAGGAUAUAGGAGUGUCCCUUUAAAGAAUAUGUAUAGUGAAGAUCUUGAGCUGGC